This 75-nucleotide transfer RNA is filed under the name Rhamnusium bicolor. RNAcentral's name for it is "tRNA-OTHER". It matches the Rfam family "tRNA". Rfam says of the family: Transfer RNA (tRNA) molecules are approximately 80 nucleotides in length. Their secondary structure includes four short double-helical elements and three loops (D, anti-codon, and T loops). Lineage: Eukaryota; Metazoa; Arthropoda; Insecta; Coleoptera; Cerambycidae. The record is from RNAcentral.
GGCGCCGUGGCUUAGUUGGUUAAAGCGCCUGUCUAGUAAACAGGAGAUCGAGGGUUCGAAUUCCCUCCGGGGCCU